Molecule: ribosomal RNA, 251 nt
Filed under: uncultured Mesorhizobium sp.
Lineage: Bacteria; Pseudomonadati; Pseudomonadota; Alphaproteobacteria; Hyphomicrobiales; Phyllobacteriaceae
Description: partial 16S ribosomal RNA
Rfam family: Bacterial small subunit ribosomal RNA
Source: RNAcentral
AAUACGAGCGGCAGACGGGUGAGUAACGCGUGGGAAUCUACCCAUCUCUACGGAACAACUCCGGGAAACUGGAGCUAAUACCGUAUACGUCCUUUUGGAGAAAGAUUUAUCGGAGAUGGAUGAGCCCGCGUUGGAUUAGCUAGUUGGUGGGGUAAUGGCCUACCAAGGCGACGAUCCAUAGCUGGUCUGAGAGGAUGAUCAGCCACACUGGGACUGAGACACGGCCCAGACUCCUACGGGAGGCAGCAGCU